This 471-nucleotide ribosomal RNA is filed under the name uncultured Anaerolineaceae bacterium. RNAcentral describes it as "bacterial SSU rRNA". It matches the Rfam family "Bacterial small subunit ribosomal RNA", at positions 897 to 1382 of the family's 1533-position model. Lineage: Bacteria; Bacillati; Chloroflexota; Anaerolineae; Anaerolineales; Anaerolineaceae. The record is from RNAcentral.
AAACUUAAAUGAAUUGACGGGGCCCGCACAAGCAGCGGAGCGUGUGGUUUAAUUCGAGGCAACACGAAGAACCUUACCUGGGCUUGACAUGUUCGUGGUAGUGAAGCGAAAGCGGAUCGACCCUUCGGGGAGCGUUCACAGGUGCUGCAUGGCUGUCGUCAGCUCGUGCCGUGAGGUGUUCGGUUAAGUCCGGUAACGAGCGCAACCCUUGCUGUUAGUUACAAGUGUCUAACGGGACUGCCGGUUUAAUACCGGAGGAAGGUGGGGAUGACGUCAAGUCAGCAUGGCCUCUAUGUCCAGGGCUACACACACGCUACAAUGGCCGGUACAGUGGGUUGCCAAACCGCGAGGUGGAGCUAAUCCUCAAAGCCGGUCUCAGUUCGGAUUGUAGGCUGCAACUCGCCUGCAUGAAGUCGGAGUUGCUAGUAACCGCGCGUCAGCUAUAGCGCGGUGAAUACGUUCCCGGGCCUU